RNAcentral lists this ribosomal RNA (191 nucleotides) under uncultured bacterium. Its description in RNAcentral is "partial 16S ribosomal RNA". It matches the Rfam family "Bacterial small subunit ribosomal RNA", at positions 1305 to 1500 of the family's 1533-position model. The record is from RNAcentral.
CUGCAACUCGACUCCGUGAAGCUGGAUUCGCUAGUAAUCGCGCAUCAGCCAUGGCGCGGUGAAUACGGUUCCCGGGCCUUGUACACACCGCCCGUCAAGCCAUGAAAGUCGGGGGGUGCUUGAAGUACGCUUACCGCAAGGGGCGUCCUAAGGCAAAACCGAUAAUUGGGGCUAAGUCGUAACAAGGUAAC